CAUACUCCUGUAAAAAUCGAUACAAGAAAACAGAUAAAGGCAAACAAAAAACAUAAAUUUCAAGCGCACCUUGCCGCAUACCUAGGUAUCUCCUCUUUGGGUUUUUGUGGUCAUCGCCUUCUCAAAACCACCCGUGUCUUGUUUUCGGAUCUCGGCGGAGAAAAAUCU
Molecule: small RNA, 168 nt
Filed under: uncultured eukaryote
Lineage: Eukaryota
Description: partial transfer-messenger RNA
Source: RNAcentral